CCUGGCGGCUUUAGCGCGGUGGUCCCACCUGACCCCAUGCCGAACUCAGAAGUGAAACGCCGUAGCGCCGAUGGUAGUGUGGGGCCUCCCCAUGCGAGAGUAGGGAAC
RNAcentral lists this ribosomal RNA (108 nucleotides) under Acinetobacter baumannii. The record is from RNAcentral. Lineage: Bacteria; Pseudomonadati; Pseudomonadota; Gammaproteobacteria; Moraxellales; Moraxellaceae.